This 69-nucleotide transfer RNA is filed under the name Ovis aries (sheep). It matches the Rfam family "tRNA". From Rfam's summary of the family: Transfer RNA (tRNA) molecules are approximately 80 nucleotides in length. Lineage: Eukaryota; Metazoa; Chordata; Mammalia; Artiodactyla; Bovidae. The record is from Rfam by way of RNAcentral.
CCUGACAGCUCAGUUGGUAAAGAAUCUGCCUGCAAUGCAGGAGACCCUGGUUUGAUUCCUGGGUCUGGA